This is a long non-coding RNA of Mus musculus (house mouse), 379 nucleotides long. RefSeq annotates it as predicted gene, 42156. Lineage: Eukaryota; Metazoa; Chordata; Mammalia; Rodentia; Muridae. The record is from RefSeq and is a predicted model, not a curated record. The transcript is spliced from 3 exons.
ACGGGCGCGAGGAGGCUGCAGACGGGAUGAGUUCGCCCUUCAUGUUGAUGGGGCCGGCGCGGGGCAAACGCUACGGCACCUGAACUCACGACAAAACCAGAUCCAUGGUCCCCAGGACAGCUGCGCUAAACAUCUGGCAACUGGUAUGGGAUUCUCCCAAGCUGCACUGGGAACUUCCCGGAGCCCCCAAGGAUCCUCUCUGCAGAGAAAGAUGCCAAGGACAGAGAUGUGUUGUGCUUUAAGAGAUGAGCCAUCACAGAGGCACUACAGGAAAGCACAUCAAAAUGCAGAACUGUGGAGGCCAGUUCCAGAGUGUGAGGAGCGGGUGUGGCAGCAGUCCCAAGAUGGAGCCCAGGACUGCAGCUAAGUCUUAUGACUU